AAAAUUUUGACAGUCACAAUGUAUCAAUGCAUAUUGACUCUAUUAAUACAAUUUUCCUGUUUGCUUUGACCUUUAUUUUUCUUUACUCAAUUGAACAGAUAUUUUUGAGUGCUUACAUUGUGCUCGGAAGUGUAGGAGAUAAAAAAUGAAACAUAAAUCCUGCCCUCUGGGUUUAGGCGUAUACAAGUACAAUGUAAGUAUUAAAGUGCUGCCACAGAAGUAUAUAUAAAAGUCUCGAAGGAAUAAUGACUCUUUUUAUGUAUGUGACCUUUACUUUCGUAUUUGUUAAGGUUACGCUGCUGCUUUAACAGAGAGAUGCAGGAAUCGCAGUGUGUCAACAAAAUUCAUGUUUCUUUCUUAUUCAGAGUCCAAUCAACGUAAGGAUGGGGAGGCAUUUGGGAUUCUGCUCCAUACGUCAUUCAGGGUUCCAGGCUUCCUCAACAUGUGGAUUUCAAGUUUUCAAGGAGUCCAGAGAUUGCAGGAUCCAGAGAAAACCCCGGGGUGAUGAUCGCCGCCUCCGGUACCAAGCUGGACAAUGGCCUAGAGAAGACUCAGAGGCCACUACGAAAUCUCCUAUCUGCCAAAACUCCCAGCGCUUUCAACUUCUCCUAGACAAACAAUAAUUUGACUUUUGCUUCUCUUUUACCUUCAGAAUCCCAUGCAAGAGACUCUCAUUGAUGAGAUUCUUGGAAAUUUAGCUCCAAUCUUUUAACUCCAAUACAGACCAUGGAAGGGAGACAAUGACAAGUUACGAAUGACAAUCUAAACAGUAGUUUUUAUUGUUAAGUAUAUGUGCAUUCACUGUAUUUUUAUCAGCAUGCUUUAUAAAAUG
This 832-nucleotide long non-coding RNA is filed under the name Equus caballus (horse). RNAcentral's name for it is "lncRNA (ENSECAG00000054121.1)". Lineage: Eukaryota; Metazoa; Chordata; Mammalia; Perissodactyla; Equidae. The record is from RNAcentral.